This is a long non-coding RNA of Lolium rigidum, 1391 nucleotides long. RefSeq lists it as uncharacterized. The record is from RefSeq and is a predicted model, not a curated record. The transcript is spliced from 3 exons. NCBI's taxonomy places the organism in Eukaryota, Viridiplantae, Streptophyta, Magnoliopsida, Poales, Poaceae.
UGAUGCAUCCUGGUCGACCAGAGUUGGUGGGGGCGGAGCUUUUCGAGACGGGGAGAGCGCCGAUGGUGGUGCUUUGACGCCUCAGCCGGCGCUAGCGGCGAUGGGUAGAGUUGCAGCUCGCGUCCUUCUCCGGCCAACGAGGAAGAGAUCGGAUAUUCGGGAGCACGGAUGGCAUGUGCGCCUCCGGCGAGAUGGGGGCUUGCUUUCUUGAACACUCCUUCCGCUGAUUCGUUGCUGCAUUUCUGGAUGUUUUCCAGCAAGAGCAAACACAACAUCAGUCUGAAUCUUGAUCAGAUCUUCCCAAGAUAUCUGUUGUAGAAUAGUGUCCUUCCCAUGGAAAGGUAUAGCAUGUAUUAAUAUUUCAGUCAUUCUCAGUGUUCUAAGUCAUGUUUUUCAGGCAGGUAAUUUGUCAGUAUUUUAGUUUUCAUUUCUUGCAGUCAUAUUAUUUUUUCUCUAGUCAUUUGUCUAAUUCUUCAGUCCCUCAGUCUUUUAGUUUUUCAGUAACUUAGUCUCUCAAUUAAGCCUCUUUGUUUUCAGUUUUUAGUCCCUCUCUGUUUAGUCCCUCGGUUUAUUUUCUAAAGUCUCUCACCAAUUCACUCACUCAUUUUUCGGCAUUUCACUCAGUAACUUAGUUAUUCAGUUUUUUUUCUCUUCAGCCUCUCAGUGUAUGUCUUCAGUUUUCACUUUCUGAUGUUCAAUCUUUAUUACGUUCAUCAUUUUUUUUAGUCCUUCAUUCCUCGGGUUUUCAUUGUCCGUUGUUCAGUUCAUCAUUUUUUUCUUCAUUCUUCAGUGUCUCAUUCUUUAGUCCUCACUCACUCUUGAGUCUCUAAGUCUCCAACAACUUUCCAAUAACUCAUUUAUUAGUCCUCGACCUUCUUUCUCCGGGCCACACUUUCUUCAAUAUCUCAGUCUUUGGUGGCUCUUCACUAACUCUAAGUAUUUAUGUUUACUCUUAGUCUUUAUUUGCAUUAACUCUCAUUCUUCAGUCUUUGAUGUCUUUUUCUUCAGCCAGUCUUCAAUGACCCUUUUUUCAUUUUUAGUCAAAAGUGAGAACAAGACGGAAGAUUUCAUAAUGGAUAUAAAGACACUUUUUCCCUAGACCAGAGGGGAGAUCGGAGAGUGGAUACUUUUCAGUUCUACAUGGAACAUCAAGUUGUCAAAAACAUCCUGAUGUCUUUCAAUCACAACAUACCAAAAUUAAUGAAGCACAUGGCAGGGAAUUCAGAGGCAAAACCUUUGUUGGAAGAGAUUCGGCAGUCCCAGGUAUGUUGGCUUGGAGAACUUUUUUGCCUUUCUUCUUCUUCGUUUCUUCCAUUCCUGAAAAUUUAUCUUUUCCCUCCAUUUUCUUGAGGUAGCCUCUGGAUCUCGAGCUUCCAUAGAGGAGCAGCCGC